CACGUAGGGUGCGAGCGUUGUCCGGAAUUAUUGGGCGUAAAGAGCUCGUAGGCGGUGUGUCGCGUCGGCCGUGAAAACCUGCAGCUUAACUGUGGGCGUGCGGUCGAUACGGGCAUCACUGGAGUUCGGCAGGGGAGACUGGAAUUCCUGGUGUAGCGGUGAAAUGCGCAGAUAUCAGGAGGAACACCGGUGGCGAAGGCGGAUCUCUGGGCCUUACCUGACGCUGAGGCGCGAAAGCUAGGGGAGCGAACAGG
RNAcentral lists this ribosomal RNA (254 nucleotides) under uncultured bacterium. RNAcentral's name for it is "partial 16S ribosomal RNA". It matches the Rfam family "Bacterial small subunit ribosomal RNA", at positions 524 to 776 of the family's 1533-position model. The record is from RNAcentral.